Long non-coding RNA from Leucoraja erinaceus (little skate), 2703 nucleotides. RefSeq lists it as uncharacterized. The record is from RefSeq and is a predicted model, not a curated record. NCBI's taxonomy places the organism in Eukaryota, Metazoa, Chordata, Chondrichthyes, Rajiformes, Rajidae. The transcript has 3 exons.
UAAUUAGUCAGAGGGAAGGUGGCGCCGUAGAUGUUUAUAACCGGUUGUUAUUCCCUCUCCGCCUGCUCCUCCCACCUCCCUGGCGGAUCUAACGGCCGGAGGGACUGGGUGGAGCCGCCGGUAACGGCGCUGUGUGUCCUCCCGCCCCGGCCCCGCCGCCGCCGCGGUAAAGACGGAGCCCUCACCUCCUCCCGCCACCGCCGGGUGUGUGAGUGAGUGAGUGAGUGAACCGCUCCCGGUCGCUCCUGUCCUCGGAGGAGGGUUUUGAAUAAAAUGGCGGUGGGUUCGGGGGGUUUAAUGUGAUUUCUCCCCUCGCUCGGCCCACACGUCACUAACCCCCUACUCACCCCGGAUUAAAGGGGAGGGCGGGAGGGAGCCCCUCCACCCAGUCAGCCGUUUGUCGACAUAAAUUACACCUGUGAGGUGAAGGAGUUGGGAUGAGAGGGUGGUGUUGGUACUGCGUUGACAUUGACCCAUUCAUUCGCUUUUCCCAUCAUUAAACUCUGCACCUUUCGUUAAAAAGCGUUUCCAUGUCUCCAAAGACCACUAUGUUAAUUGAAGGUAGACACAAAAUGCUGGAGUAACUCAGCGGAUCAGGCAGAGGUGAUGUUUUGGGCCGAAACCCAUCUUCAGACUGAGAGUCAGGGGAGAGGGAAACGAAAGAUAUGGAAAGCUGGCGAUGAAGUGCUUUCUUGGAACAUUGAUUGAAAGAUACAGCGUGGAAGUAGGCCCAUCAGCCCACCGAGUCCACGCCGAUCAUCAUCGAACAAGAUGUCUAUCUGACCUCGUCCCAUUUCCUUGCUGUUGGCACCCAUCCUUCAAAACCUUUCAUAUUCUUGUACUUAUCGCAAUGUCUUUUAAUUAUAAUUGUACCAACCUCUACAGCUUUCUUUGGUAGCUCACUCCAUAUACCCACCAUCCUCUGUGUAAAAAAGUUCCUCAGGUCCCCUUGAAAUCUUUUCUCCCUCAUCUUGAAUCUCUGCCUUCUAGUUUUAGACUCAUCUGCCCAAGGAAAGAAGACUGUAACCAUUGACCUUAUCUAUGCCCCCUCAUGAUUUUGUAUACCUCUAUAGAGUCCUAUGUUAACCAUAACCUUAACCUAGGGGGUAACCUUAACCUAGGGGCCUAUCCUGCCUCACCUUAUGAUUCAAGCUCUCCAGUCCCGGUAACAUUCUCAGUGGUGUUUCCAUGCUCCUUCUUCAAGGUGGAGGUCGCAGCAAAGUGCUGUUGGAUUAGUGAGUAACAGCAGUGCAUUUUAUAGUUGGUACAGACUGAACUACCACAUGACAGAGGAAAUUAAUGUUUAGAAUGACAAAACAAUAGGAUAAAAUAUUAUCACGUCCUGUCAAUGCACUCAGAUUGUCGGUUUGAUAUAUCACACAAACUGCUGAAUUUACAAACCCAGCUGUGUGUUUUAGUGAUGUUUAUACGAAAGAUAAGUACCAACAUCUGAUUAUCCGCUCGGUCCUACGCCUACUCCAAUAUGUUUAACUAUGAUACCAAUGUACACUUUUGAAAAAGCAAUGUUAAGAAAAUGUACUAUUGCUACACAGGCAUAGAAAUCCCAAUAUGGGAAAAAUCAAAGGAAAUGCAUGAUCCUUCAAUAUUUAACUAAUUUUCUGCCUGUGUUUGUAAUAAUUAGCUUUAUGAGAUAAAAUUGCAAGCCAAAACGGAAGAUAUGAAUCAUUUCUUUAUUACGUGGUUCCUCGUGUCCUCUUUCACUUGUAAUAGCAGAAUUUCUGACUUAUUGGCGAGACACCUUCUCAUCAAACGUGCAUUCUUGUGCCAUGAUGAGCAAAAAUGAACAUGGUAUGAAAGCACUCAUGAACCUAUGUCCCAUAAAUAUCAGUGAGAUAUUUUCAUAUCCACCAAGAUAUAUAGAUACUUCUAUUAUAAACUGGUAAAUGCAUAGUCUGCAUAUUGGAUUCAGGAAUAUGCUGAACUGUCUUGGCUAAUAUUCCCAAACAGAGUAAAUGCCUCCGUGAGGUCUGUUUUUUGAUGUAGCCACAGGCUUUAGGCAGUGUGGUACUAUCUCAUUUCAUCAUAUUGCCUCUUGACAAUCAAUUAGGGUACAAUGGAGCAGCAAGCAGUUUGCUGGAGGAAAUGAGCGCUUCAAAAAGCAUCUAUGGGAGGAAAGGAAUGGUUGAUGUUUUACUUCAAAACCCUGCAUCAGGACUAAUAUGUUACGGUUUGAUUUGAUUAUGUUGCUUCAGACACUAACAUAAUUAUCCUGUCAUAGAGUGAUACAGUGUGGUAACAAGCCCUUCGGCCCAACUUGCCCGCACCGGCCAACAUGUCCCAGCUGGACUAGUCCCACCUGCCCGCGUUUGGUCCAUAUCCCUCCAAACCUGUAAUUUCCAUGUACCUGUCUAACUGCUUCUUCAAUGUUGGGACAGUCCCUGCCUCAACUACCUCCUCUGGCAGCUUGUUCCACACAUCCACCACCCUUUGUGUGGAAAAAGCUACCUCUCAGAUGCCCAUUAAAUACUUUCCCCUUCACCUUAAACCUAUGUCCUCUGGUCCUCAAUUCACCUACUCUGGACAAGAGACUCUGUGCAUCUGCACAAUCUAUUCAUCUCUUGAGUUUAUACACAAUAUGGAUCUUGUAGCGUGUUUACAGUUCAGAGUCACUCUGAGAUUAAAUAUAUCACUGAUUUGAAUGAAAUGGACAUUAUUCUAUCUGAGGAUUGACCAUGUUUAUAU